AGAAGAUCAAUGGAAAGAAGAACCUGAUCGAUCGUGUGACGAUUGAGUUUAUCCUUGCAUAUGAAUUAUUGAUUAUUGAAUAAAAGUUAUUCUGAUAUUUUUCAUCACAAAGUAACAUCUUCCUUGAACUCUUGUGUUGUGAUGAAGUUCUUAGAACUAUGCUAGUGUGUAAUAAAGAAAAGAUUUAUCGUAUAGUUUUUAAAUAUGUUCACGACCAAAUGAUACGUCAUUACAGGAUGAUGACGUUUAUCGAGUGGAGAUCGUUGUGUGCCAUAUGGAUUAGUUAUCCUCUUAAUCAAAGAGUAUGGUGAUACUGCUAUGGCAUACGGGGUGAGAUGUAGGGGUACAUCGUCACUGAACAAGUGACUCACC
Molecule: long non-coding RNA, 372 nt
Filed under: Elaeis guineensis (African oil palm)
Lineage: Eukaryota; Viridiplantae; Streptophyta; Magnoliopsida; Arecales; Arecaceae
Description: long non-coding RNA (EGUI_LNC072478)
Source: RNAcentral